Molecule: ribosomal RNA, 449 nt
Filed under: uncultured bacterium
Lineage: Bacteria
Description: partial 16S ribosomal RNA
Rfam family: Bacterial small subunit ribosomal RNA
Source: RNAcentral
AACGAACGCUGGCGGCAUGCCUAACACAUGCAAGUCGAACGAGACCUUCGGGUCUAGUGGCGCACGGGUGCGUAACGCGUGGGAAUCUGCCCUUCGGUUGGGAAUAACAUAGAGAUAUUUGUGCUAAUACCUUAUAAUGUCUUCGGACCAAAGAUUUAUCGCCGAGGGAUGAGCCCGCGUAGGAUUAGCUAGUUGGUGGGGUAAUGGCCUACCAAGGCGACGAUCCUUAGCUGGUCUGAGAGGAUGAUCAGCCACACUGGGACUGAGACACGGCCCAGACUCCUACGGGAGGCAGCAGUGGGGAAUAUUGGACAAUGGGCGAAAGCCUGAUCCAGCAAUGCCGCGUGAGUGAUGAAGGCCUUAGGGUUGUAAAGCUCUUUUACCCGGGAUGAUAAUGACAGUACCGGGAGAAUAAGCUCCGGCUAACUCCGUGCCAGCAGCCGCCGUAA